GGCGCAAGCGGGCAACGUCACGACUAUCGCAGGGGGGGGGGGGGUUGUCAGUCCUGGGCCGACUUCACAGAGAGCACAGGAUUCGAACCCGGUUCACUUCCGGGUCGACUUACAGGUAGCAACCGCACAGACGACCGCGAUUUGACGCGCUAUGUCUUUCCAGUGGCAAUGAUAUUGUCAUCAUCAUUUACCGUGUCAACAACAGGAAGCAUUCAAUCGGCGUAAUCAAAAUUUGUGACCGUCGUUAACUUCCUGACGUGUACGAUGCUCACAUACCUUGUGCUUGGAUAUAUCGUUGUCAACACGUGCUAUUGUGUGUCUUCUCCAAUGCAGCUAAUAUAUCUGAGCAACACCCUAAAUGUCUCGGGGCUUAUCGAAGACGAACGGAUUGCCGCCGCCUAUGUCAACGAGCUGAAGACCCCGCUUGACAUAUUGUACAAAGCCAGCACUAAUUCGCAAUGGGAUUUCAAUACCAAUAUCACGGACUACAACCAGAAUAUGUCGGAAACCGUGGAAAAUGAACUAACAAAAAAGAGGAGAGAGAUUGGCUUAACUGCGAAACGCUUCGCAUUUAAAACAUUCAAAAAUGUGACCCUCGUUCGAAUGUUUCGAAGAUUGAACGACAUAGGACUCGGCAUACUGAAGGAUGAAGAAGCCGCUGAGGCAAUUAAAUUAUGGGGAGAAAUGGAGAAGAUAUACAGCUCGACCGAAGUCGUCAUCAGAGGGAAAAACAUGUCACUCGAACCAGACUUAACGCAAACAAUGGCGAAAGUCGGAGACUACGGUGCUCUUCUCGAGGCCUGGAAGAAGUGGCACGAAGGUGCGGGCCGGCCCAUAAGACCGCUGUACCAGAGGUUUAUCACAAUCGUCAACAAGUCGGCUGUAAUGAACGGAUACGAAAACUUGAAGGGCAGCUGGCUCGAAAAUUACGAGACAGAGAACAUCACUGACAUGGUGGAUGCCCUGUGGGAGGAAGUGUCGCCGCUUUACAAGAAGCUGCACGCUUUCGUUCGCAAGAAGCUUAAGGAGAUUUACCCCAAUAAGAUUCCAGCAGAUGGUACCAUUCCAGCGCACUUGCUCGGAAAUAUGUGGGCACAGUCCUGGGCUAACCUCUACAAUAAUAUUAGUCAAGGGUCAAUUCUGGACGUCACUCCUGAAAUGAAAAACAAGAAGUGGAACGCAACAAAAAUGUUCAAAACGUCCGAGAAGUUUUUCACAAGUUUAGGAAUGAAACCGAUGACCGGUAUAUUCUGGGCCAAAAGUAUGCUUACCAAGCCUCCGAAUAGGAAGGUUGUGUGUCACGCAUCUGCUUGGGAUUUUUCAACGCCACAGGAUUUCAGGGUAAAAAUGUGCACGGACAUCACAAUGGAGGACCUAUUUACGGUGCACCAUGAGAUGGGUCACAUUGCCUACUAUAUGCAGUACUUCAAUCAGCAUCCAUUAUUCAGAGAGGGUGCCAACGAAGGUUUUCACGAGGCUAUAGGAGACCUUAUGGCUCUAUCGGUAUCUACACCGAGUCACCUGAAAAAGCUAGGCCUUCUACGGGACAGCAACAUUAACACUGUUGAUUUCCAGCUGCUUACCGCCCUGGAUAAGGUAGCUUUCCUACCUUUCGGAUACCUGUUGGACAAGUGGCGAUGGACCCUGUUCACAGGAGAGACGCCACUAGAACAAAUGAACAGAAAAUUCUGGGAAUACAGGAUCAAGUAUCAAGGAGUCUCACCUCCCGUGAAAAGGAGCGAAAAUGACUUUGACCCAGGAGCAAAAUACCACGUUCCCGCAAACUUUCCAUAUUUAAGAUAUUUUGUGAGCUUCAUAAUCCAGUUUCAGUUCCACGAGCACUUGUGUAAGGAAUCGGGAGAACUUGGUAGCAAAAAACUUCACGAAUGUGACAUCUACAAAAAGAAGAAGGCUGGAGCUAUACUCAGGAAGGGCCUGUCCUUAGGGUCCAGCAAGGUUUGGCAAGAUGUCUUUGAAAUCAUGGCAGGCACAAGGGAAAUGUCAGCGUCGUCCAUCAAGAAAUAUUUUGAACCUUUGGAUACUUGGCUGAAUACUCAACUCCAGGGCGAGACAGUUGGAUGGGAUAAUGCAAAAGUGGAACACUACAUGGAAUCUGGACAGGAGGUAGUAGAGACAUCAAUGUUCUUACUCCUAUCAUUAGUCAGCACAGUUAUGCUCGCAUGGAGGGCCCUCCAGCCCUGAGCCAGAAAGCAUGCAAGCACAAGCAUGUCACUCAUAUAUGUGGAGAUCCCAGCCAAAAGUUACCUCUACAAUUGCACGGGCAUGGAACCUGCAACGCUUGCAUCUGGUGUUUACAACUCUGCACUGCAUGCUUUCACAUUUGUAGGUGAUACUGCAAGCAUGCUUCCGAGACGCAAGGAAUGCAUGAAAGCAUGGCGUGAAACAUUAAAGCGAUUGCAACGGUUUUCUAUAAAGAGUGAAAAUAAUGGAAAAUUGUAUUUUCAUGCUAGAGAUAUCUGUCCAUAACAGACUGUUUGGAGAGCUUGGGAACAGGGUCG
Molecule: RNA transcript, 2519 nt
Organism: Ornithodoros turicata
Lineage: Eukaryota; Metazoa; Arthropoda; Arachnida; Ixodida; Argasidae
Gene name: angiotensin-converting enzyme-like
Exons: 15
Source: RefSeq, a predicted model, not a curated record